RNAcentral lists this long non-coding RNA (466 nucleotides) under Equus asinus (donkey). RNAcentral's name for it is "lncRNA (ENSEASG00005029362.1)". Lineage: Eukaryota; Metazoa; Chordata; Mammalia; Perissodactyla; Equidae. The record is from RNAcentral.
GAUGCUUCAAAAUUUUUUCUUAAAGGUCUGUGUCAGAGAUUAGCUCACUUGACUCUCUAUUUUACAAUAAGGAAACUAAAGCUCAGAGAGGCAAAAGCUUGCCCAAUGUAUCACAUUCAGGAAAUGGGACCUCACAGAAGGGUACCCAGGCUUUCUAAUUUCGUAAGCCCUCUCAUCACACAGAGAAGAUGGCAGAUCUACACCACUGAAAGGACAAAAGACAAGAGAAUGGUGGCUUGUGCCUCUGCCAGCCUAAUCCCUGGAAAUAAGACUUCUUUACUUCCGAGCGUUUUCCUGGGUCCUGCCUCACAUCUGACCAGGGCAGGUGGCCUCCUCAUCACACUGCUGCCUCUGCUGUUGGCCCUGCUCAUGAAGCCACUAAACAUAUGGUCUCAGCUCUCUUGUCCUCCAAGAAAGACAACCACCACUGCUGCCUUUCUGAUCUCACGACCAAAGAGAAGAUGCU